Molecule: ribosomal RNA, 980 nt
Filed under: uncultured bacterium
Lineage: Bacteria
Description: bacterial SSU rRNA
Rfam family: Bacterial small subunit ribosomal RNA
Source: RNAcentral
AGAGUUUGAUCCUGGCUCAGGACGAACGCUGGCGGCGUGCUUAACACAUGCAAGUCGAACGAUGAAGCCAAGCUUGCUGGGUGGAUUAGUGGCGAACGGGUGAGUAACACGUGAGUAACCUGCCCUUGACUUCGGGAUAACUCCGGGAAACCGGGGCUAAUACUGGAUAUGAGCCGUCCUCGCAUGGGGGUGGUUGGAAAGUUUUUCGGUCAGGGAUGGGCUCGCGGCCUAUCAGCUUGUUGGUGGGGUGAUGGCCUACCAAGGCGACGACGGGUAGCCGGCCUGAGAGGGCGACCGGCCACACUGGGACUGAGACACGGCCCAGACUCCUACGGGAGGCAGCAGUGGGGAAUAUUGCACAAUGGGCGCAAGCCUGAUGCAGCGACGCCGCGUGAGGGAUGAAGGCCUUCGGGUUGUAAACCUCUUUCAGCAGGGAAGAAGCGCAAGUGACGGUACCUGCAGAAGAAGCGCCGGCUAACUACGUGCCAGCAGCCGCGGUAAUACGUAGGGCGCAAGCGUUGUCCGGAAUUAUUGGGCGUAAAGAGCUCGUAGGCGGUUUGUCGCGUCUGGUGUGAAAACUCGAGGCUCAACCUCGAGCUUGCAUCGGGUACGGGCAGACUAGAGUGCGGUAGGGGAGACUGGAAUUCCUGGUGUAGCGGUGGAAUGCGCAGAUAUCAGGAGGAACACCGAUGGCGAAGGCAGGUCUCUGGGCCGCAACUGACGCUGAGGAGCGAAAGCAUGGGGAGCGAACAGGAUUAGAUACCCUGGUAGUCCAUGCCGUAAACGUUGGGCACUAGGUGUGGGGCUCAUUCCACGAGUUCCGUGCCGCAGCAAACGCAUUAAGUGCCCCGCCUGGGGAGUACGGCCGCAAGGCUAAAACUCAAAGGAAUUGACGGGGGCCCGCACAAGCGGCGGAGCAUGCGGAUUAAUUCGAUGCAACGCGAAGAACCUUACCAAGGCUUGACAUGCACGAGAAGCCA